GAUCCUGCCGGAGGUUACUGCUAUCGAGGUUCGACUAAGCCAUGCGAGUCGAAUGUAGCAAUACAUGGCGAACUGCUCAGUAACACGUGGACAACCUGCCCUUAGGACGGGGAUAAACCCGGGAAACUGGGUAUAAUACCCGAUAGGUCUCGAUUGCUGGAAUGCAUCGAGACUUAAAGCUCCGGCGCCUAAGGAUGGGUCUGCGGCCUAUCAGGUAGUAGUGGGUGUAGCGUACCUACUAGCCUACGACGGGUACGGGUUGUGAGAGCAAGAGCCCGGAGAUGGAUUCUGAGACACGAAUCCAGGCCCUACGGGGUGCAGCAGGCGCGAAAACUUUACAAUGCUGGCAACAGCGAUAAGGGAACCUCGAGUGCCAGGUUACAAAUCUGGCCGUCGAGAUGCCUAAAAAGCAUUUCAUAGCAAGGGCCGGGCAAGACCGGUGCCAGCCGCCGCGGUAACACCGGCGGCUCGAGUGGUAACCGUUAUUAUUGGGUCUAAAGGGUCUGUAGCCGGCCGGAUAAGUCUCUUGAGAAAUCUGGCAGCUUAACUGUCAGGCUUUCAGGAGAUACUGUCUGGCUCGAGGCCGGGAGAGGUGAGAGG
This 600-nucleotide ribosomal RNA is filed under the name uncultured archaeon. RNAcentral's name for it is "bacterial SSU rRNA". It matches the Rfam family "Archaeal small subunit ribosomal RNA", at positions 10 to 615 of the family's 1478-position model. The record is from RNAcentral.